Molecule: ribosomal RNA, 466 nt
Filed under: uncultured Desulfovibrio sp.
Lineage: Bacteria; Pseudomonadati; Thermodesulfobacteriota; Desulfovibrionia; Desulfovibrionales; Desulfovibrionaceae
Description: bacterial SSU rRNA
Rfam family: Bacterial small subunit ribosomal RNA
Source: RNAcentral
CCCGCACAAGCGGUGGAGUAUGUGGUUUAAUUCGACGCAACGCGCAGAACCUUACCUAGGCUUGACAUCCCGGGAAUUGCUGGAAACAGUGAAGUGCUUUCAUUAGAAAGAGCCCGGUGACAGGUGCUGCAUGGCUGUCGUCAGCUCGUGUCGUGAGAUGUUGGGUUAAGUCCCGCAACGAGCGCAACCCUCGCCUUUAGUUGCCAGCAUUCAGUUGGGCACUCUAAAGGGACUGCCGGUGUCAAACCGGAGGAAGGUGGGGAUGACGUCAAGUCCUCAUGGCCUUUAUGUCUAGGGCUACACACGUACUACAAUGGCAGGUACAAAGGGCAGCGACACAGCGAUGUGAUGCGAAUCCCGAAAAGCCUGUCUCAGUCCGGAUCGGAGUCUGCAACUCGACUCCGUGAAGUUGGAAUCGCUAGUAAUCGUGGAUCAGCAUGCCACGGUGAAUACGUUCCCGGGCCUU